This 253-nucleotide ribosomal RNA is filed under the name uncultured bacterium. RNAcentral describes it as "partial 16S ribosomal RNA". It matches the Rfam family "Bacterial small subunit ribosomal RNA", at positions 524 to 776 of the family's 1533-position model. The record is from RNAcentral.
UACGUAGGGUGCAAGCGUUAUCCGGAAUUAUUGGGCGUAAAGAGCUCGUAGGCGGUUUGUCACGUCUGCUGUGAAAACUGGAGGCUCAACCUCCAGCCUGCAGUGGGUACGGGCAGACUAGAGUGCGGUAGGGGAGAUUGGAAUUCCUGGUGUAGCGGUGGAAUGCGCAGAUAUCGAGAGGAACACCUGCGGGGAAGGCGGGUUGCUGGGCUGACACUGACGCUGGGGCGCGAAAGCUAGGGGAGCGAACGGG